Molecule: ribosomal RNA, 353 nt
Filed under: Amblyomma compressum
Lineage: Eukaryota; Metazoa; Arthropoda; Arachnida; Ixodida; Ixodidae
Description: partial small subunit ribosomal RNA
Source: RNAcentral
AUUAUUAAAGAGCUGAAUAUUGUAAGUAUAUAACAAUUAUGAAAACAAAAAAUUAUGGCGGUACUUUAAUCUUUUCAGAGGAAUUUGCUCUUUAAUGGAUAAAACGCCUUAAUCUUACUAAAGUUUGUUAUUUCAGUUUGUAUACCACUAUAAAAUUAAUAAUUUAUAAAGAUUUAUAUGAUUUUUUGUAUACGCAAAUUUUGGAAAAAAGAUUAAGUCAUGGUGCAGCAAAAAUUUUAGUAUGAAGUGAAUUACAGUUCUUUAAAGAAAUUAAAAGUAUUAAAUUUAAUAAUAGGAUUUGAAAGUAAAAAUUUAAUAUUAUGAUUUUUUGAAUAAAGUUCUAAAGUAUGUAC